This is a long non-coding RNA of Pseudopipra pipra, 612 nucleotides long. RefSeq lists it as uncharacterized. The transcript is spliced from 2 exons. NCBI's taxonomy places the organism in Eukaryota, Metazoa, Chordata, Aves, Passeriformes, Pipridae. The record is from RefSeq and is a predicted model, not a curated record.
GAUGGAGAAGCGCGGGGGGGGGGGGGGGGGGAAUUUUCUGGCUGUGCUCCGGCCUCCACCUCCGUCCCCCUCGCCCCUGCGCCAGGCGCCCUCCCCCCGCCAUUAGCAUAGGCCUGCCCGGGUUUACAUGUCGGGCUGCACGUUGCCGCGGCCGGAUCCAGCAGCCAGCAGCGCUGGCAGCCGCCCCGAGUCAGCUGCUUCCCCGCGAGGAGCGGCGGGAGCCGAGCGGGGCGGGCGGCGGGGAGGCGCCCGCGGGCACCGCUGUUAAGGUGUCCUCGAGGAGAUGGAUCCCGGCCCGCCGCCCCGGGGUCCCCCGCCGCCCCCCGAGCUGCGCCCGCCUCAGCCUAUGGAUCCGGGAUUUCCCACUGUAGGAACCAGGACAAUAGCAUCUCUGGCACAGCUGUGGGACGGAUGACUGAGCAGCUAAAGUGACUGUGCACAGUCCCAAAGCCUUCCUUCUUCCUUCCCACCCUGAGCAGGUGUGGGUCAUGCCUGCACUGCAGCACAGAACAGCCCUUGCUGUUCCCAGGAGGCAGUGGGCUGGGGGGAUUGCUGCUUUCCUAUCCACUGCCCAUUCUGCCACAUGGGGAAUAAAAUUUCCCCUGGAGGUAA